CCCUUAGAUGUCCUGGGCCGCACGCGCGUUACACUGAUGCAUUCAACGAGCUUAUAACCUUGGCCGAGAGGCCUGGGCAAUCUUGUUAACGUGCAUCGUGAUAGGGAUAGAUUAUUGAAAUUAUUAAUCUUGAACGAGGAAUUCCUAGUAAACGCAGAUCAUCAAUCUGCAUUGAUUACGUCCCUGCCCUUUGUACACACCGCCCGUCGCACCUACCGAUUGGAUGGUCCGGUGAAGCCUCGGGAUUGUGGUUCUUGCCGCUUUAUUGUGGCGUGACCGCGAGAACUUGUCUAAACCUUAUCAUCUAGAGGAAGGUGCAGUCGUAACA
Molecule: ribosomal RNA, 328 nt
Filed under: uncultured eukaryote
Lineage: Eukaryota
Description: partial 18S ribosomal RNA
Rfam family: Eukaryotic small subunit ribosomal RNA
Source: RNAcentral